RNAcentral lists this long non-coding RNA (205 nucleotides) under Gossypium raimondii (Peruvian cotton). RNAcentral describes it as "long non-coding RNA (GRAI_LNC003783)". The record is from RNAcentral. Lineage: Eukaryota; Viridiplantae; Streptophyta; Magnoliopsida; Malvales; Malvaceae.
AGAGGGUCAGAGAUCUGACGGCUUCCAACGACAAGGUACGACUCCUUUUUCUCCUUUUUUUGUUGUUUCGCAUAAUAAAAAAACAGAAAUGAAAAGAAACGGAGAAGAGAAAAAGAAAAACAAAGAAAAAAAACUACAAAUCACCUUUCAAAUCUUUUUUGAUUUCGAUUCCUCUGAAUAUUUUUUAUUUUUUCUUGUAUUCAAU